This 217-nucleotide ribosomal RNA is filed under the name uncultured Leptotrichia sp. RNAcentral's name for it is "partial 16S ribosomal RNA". It matches the Rfam family "Bacterial small subunit ribosomal RNA", at positions 138 to 354 of the family's 1533-position model. The record is from RNAcentral. Lineage: Bacteria; Fusobacteriati; Fusobacteriota; Fusobacteriia; Fusobacteriales; Leptotrichiaceae.
CUGGGAUAACAGAGGGAAACUUCUGAUAAUACUGGAUAAGUUAGUAUAUCGCAUGAUAUGCAAAUGAAAGCUACGGCACUAAAGGAGAGCUUUGCGUCCUAUUAGCUAGUUGGUAAGGUAAGAGCUUACCAAGGCGAUGAUAGGUAGCCGGCCUGAGAGGGUAGACGGCCACAAGGGGACUGAGAUACGGCCCUUACUCCUACGGGAGGCAGCAGAU